AACGAACGCUGGCGGCGUGGAUAAGACAUGCAAGUCGAACGGGAUUCCUUUCGGUAGCAAUACUGAGAGGGAUUUAGUGGCGAACGGGUGCGUAACACGUGGGGAAUCUGCCGAGAAGUGGGGGAUAGCUCGUCGAAAGGCGAAUUAAUACCGCAUAUGAUCAGGGAAGGACAUCUUUCCAACAUCAAAGACCGGGGCGAACCUGGCGGCUUCUUGAUGACCCCG
Molecule: ribosomal RNA, 225 nt
Filed under: uncultured bacterium
Lineage: Bacteria
Description: partial 16S ribosomal RNA
Rfam family: Bacterial small subunit ribosomal RNA
Source: RNAcentral